This is a long non-coding RNA of Ruditapes philippinarum (Manila clam), 1180 nucleotides long. RefSeq lists it as uncharacterized. The transcript is spliced from 4 exons. The record is from RefSeq and is a predicted model, not a curated record. Lineage: Eukaryota; Metazoa; Mollusca; Bivalvia; Venerida; Veneridae.
GCUCCUUGCCAUUGGUACUUGUUGCUUGGUCAUAUGGGGGUUGCGUUCAUUGAACGCCGCCUUUCCUUGUUGAUCUUGUUUAUCAUAUUUUACCUUCAUUGGUUAAGACUAAAAUUCAUAUUAAAUACAUGCAUUCUUUUUAAGGGAUGUGCAUCAUGAAGAAUCAAUGGUAUCAGAACACAACAUCAUGGAAGAUCUUAUUUGACAAGAUCUCGGAGGAUGUCCUUUGCCAGAUGUUUGCCAGCACUAAAGUCUAUUCAUCAGUCAUAUGCUACAGUUACAAAUGACAGUGAAUGGUCAGAUUUAUACAAUUGUGAUUAACAAUCCUCAACAAUGCAUCAAACAAAAAUGCCUAUUAAACUUUCUCACAGACAGUCAAAGGUUGAAAACAAAUCAGAAGUGGUCCACAUCUUAAAAAACCUCACAGCAGAUUAAGACUUUCCCCGAAAUUUCCCUGUAAAACCCGCAGUGGUAUGUCCAGUGCAGUAGAUACUGCCUGGCACAAAAGAGGAUUUGACAGUUUAACAUUGUACUGCACCAAUAAACUAAAUAUGGCGAGAAGCUUAGUCACCAAAGCAGUCAACACCAAAAUAUACACAAUGGCCAGGGCACUGAAACUUGGAAGAGUGAAAGAGUAAAGUAGUGCGUUUUUAGCUAACAAAGUGACAUUGCGAGCUUUUGUCUAUCUUUCGUCCGUAAACUUGAUCUUUAAAACAAACAUCUCAUAAAUUGCCAAGCCAAUUUCAUGCAAACUUACGAUAUUGUCUAGUCAGUUUUUGUUUUGCUUGCAAUCGCUAUAUGACAUGACUAAAGACAUUUAGUUUUAUUCUUAAGUUAUUAUGUUUAUGUUUGUAUAAGACCCAAAUAUAUUGUUAAGAUUCAUUUUUACAAAUUUGAAAGCCAUUAUUGUUCUAGUCAGUUUUUGUUUUUGCUUGCAAUCAUUAUAUUACAUGGCUAAAGACAAUUAGUUUUAAUCUUUAAUAGUUAUGUCUAUAUUUGUAUAAGACCAAAAAAUAUUGUUAAGAUUCAUUUUUACAAUUUUGAAAGCCAUUAUUGCUCUAGUUUGUUUUUGUUUUGCUUGCAAUUGUUAUAUGACAUGACUAAAGACAUUUAGUUUAAAUCUUUAGUUAUUAUGUCCAUGAGGGGCGUCCGUGGCCGAGUGGUUAAGGUCAUUGACUUC